Molecule: ribosomal RNA, 728 nt
Filed under: uncultured Planctomycetota bacterium
Lineage: Bacteria; Pseudomonadati; Planctomycetota
Description: bacterial SSU rRNA
Rfam family: Bacterial small subunit ribosomal RNA
Source: RNAcentral
GCUUGAGCACGUAGGUGGGUUUGUAAGUCAGGUGUGAAAGCCUUCUGUUCAACGGGAGAAUUGCAUCUGAAACUACGAAUCUUGAGUGUAGGAGGGGAGAAUGGAACUUCUGGUGGAGCGGUGAAAUGCGUAGAUAUCAGAAGGAACGCCGGCGGCGAAAGCGAUUCUCUGGCCUAUUACUGACACUCAGUGUGCGAAAGCUAGGGGAGCAAACGGGAUUAGAUACCCCGGUAGUCCUAGCCGUAAACGAUGGGCACUAAGUAGUGGGAAUUACCGAUGUUCUCUCUGCCGUAGCUAACGCAUUAAGUGCCCCGCCUGGGGAGUACGGCCGCAAGGCUAAAACUCAAAAGAAUUGACGGGGGCUCGCACAAGCGGUGGAGCAUGUGGCUUAAUUCGAUGCAACGCGAAAAACCUUACCGGGGCUUGACAUGGUAGAAGUAGGAACCCGAAAGGGUAACGAACGGUAUCCAGUCCGUGACUAUCACAGGUGUUGCAUGGCUGUCGUCAGCUCGUGUCGUGAGACGUUGGGUUAAGUCCCCUAACGAGCGAAACCCUUGUUUUUAGUUACCAGCGGGUUAUGCCGGGUACUCUAGAAAGACUGCCGUCGUCAAGACGGAGGAAGGUGGGGAUGACGUCAAGUCAUCAUGGCCCUUAUGCCCCGGGCUGCACACGUGCUACAAUGGUCGGUACAAACGGAAGCGAAGCCGAGAGGUGAAGCGAAUCCAAGC